GUUGUAAACCUCUUUUAGUAGGGAAGAAGCGAAAGUGACGGUACCUGCAGAAAAAGCACCGGCUAACUACGUGCCAGCAGCCGCGGUAAUACGUAGGGUGCAAGCGUUGUCCGGAAUUAUUGGGCGUAAAGAGCUCGUAGGCGGUUUGUCGCGUCUGCUGGUGAAAUCCCGAGGCUCAACCUCGGGCUUGCAGUGGGUACGGGCAGACUAGAGUGCGGUAGGGGAGAUUGGAAUUCCUGGUGUAGCGGUGGAAUGCGCAGAUAUCAGGAGGAACACCGAUGGCGAAGGCAGAUCUCUGGGCCGUAACUGACGCUGAGGAGCGAAAGCAUGGGGAGCGAACAGGAUUAGAUACCCUGGUAGUCCAUGCCGUAAACGUUGGGCGCUAGAUGUAGGGACCUUUCCACGGUUUCUGUGUCGUAGCUAACGCAUUAAGCGCCCCGCCUGGGGAGUACGGCCGCAAGGCUAAAACUCAAAGGAAUUGACGGGGGCCCGCACAAGCGGCGGAGCAUGCGGAUUAAUUCGAUGCAACGCGAAGAACCUUACCAAGGCUUGACAUACACCGGAAACGGCCAGAGAUGGUCGCCCCCUUGUG
This 592-nucleotide ribosomal RNA is filed under the name Curtobacterium sp. Ri3Pt_4289. RNAcentral's name for it is "bacterial SSU rRNA". It matches the Rfam family "Bacterial small subunit ribosomal RNA", at positions 422 to 1022 of the family's 1533-position model. The record is from RNAcentral. Lineage: Bacteria; Bacillati; Actinomycetota; Actinomycetes; Micrococcales; Microbacteriaceae.